Populus nigra (black poplar) is the source of this 1068-nucleotide long non-coding RNA. RefSeq lists it as uncharacterized. The record is from RefSeq and is a predicted model, not a curated record. Lineage: Eukaryota; Viridiplantae; Streptophyta; Magnoliopsida; Malpighiales; Salicaceae. The transcript is spliced from 2 exons.
CUUGUAUAUAGCAGGGGAUGGUGAUAUCAAAAUAAUCUAAAAAUUUUAAAUAAAAAAAUAAUUUAAAUUUUAAACAAGCAAGCGUUUUGGCCACACCAACCGCAUCCUAAGAAUGGAUUGCCAUCUCACAUUAAUCUUUCAACAUCCAUGGCCUCUUUUUAACAUGCUAAGAUACAUAUCCCACCAAUAAUUCAUAAAUAUCCCACCCCCGAUCUGGCACUACUUGCAGGAAAAUUCCAACACCCACUUGCAAUAAAAGGUAGGAAAUCCCCGGUACAGAGAUACGCGUCCCGUGCGGUAUCCAUCAGUUUUCAGGUGGCCGGAAUUCGGAUUCUCUAUGCCAUCGUCGUCUAUUUUUCGGUGGCCGGAAUUUGAUUUCUCAUAUUUCACAACAAGGUUGAGUCUAGAGAGCUUCAGGUGGUUGGAUUUUUCUAUUGAUGAUGUGUGGUGGACCUUUGUUACGGUGCUGGAGUCCGUGGCUUUAGCUGCUAUGCUUUGCUACUUCUUUGUAUUCUGUGGCUGUACUCUUUGAUGAAGAUCAACUGACCAUCUCUGAAUUCUUUUCUUGUACAUAUACAUGCCUGUUUGAUUAUCUUUCCGCACAACAACUGAUCGCCAUAUGUUACUGUUGCUACUCCUACGUCCCAGAAUUGGAUCCAUAUUGGUAAGGGAAUUGAUGAUAACUGGUGGUAAGUCCUAAUUUGUGCGAGUUUAGGCACGAGUAUUAAAUCUUGCCUCACCUUAUUAUUACAAGAACGACGACAAUCUGGGUGCUCCAUGCGAGUGGAUGAAGUUUGGUCUCAUCUUAAUUCUUGGCACGAUGGCUCAAAAUCAGGUGAAUUUUGGCGCCUGUGACGAGGGAAAAUUACUGUCCAAACCAAUUCAUGUGGGCUAAAAUUACUUGAUUGGUUGCUGCGAUAUAUCUCAGUAACCAGUAUCGCUGUAAUGACAGCUAAAUUAGGUUCUUGUUCCGUAAUUGAUUUGGCUCGUAUGGACAGGUUCAUGGAAUGUUUUUUUGGACGAUGAAAGGCUCUAGUGCCCUAUAAUAUAACUUUCUGUAUUAGAACA